CCUACGGGAGGCAGCAGUGAGGAAUAUUGGUCAAUGGGCGCAAGCCUGAACCAGCCAAGUAGCGUGAAGGAUGACUGUCCUACGGGUUGUAAACUUCUUUUGUCAAGGGAUAAAGUGAGGCACGUGUGCCUGUUUGUGGGUACUUUAUGAAUAAGGAUCGGCUAACUCCGUGCCAGCAGCCGCGGUAAUACGGAGGAUCCGAGCGUUAUCCGGAUUUAUUGGGUUUAAAGGGUGCGUAGAUGGGUUGUUAAGUCAGGCGUGAAAGUUUGCGGCUCAACCGUAAGCUAGCAAUUGAUACUGGCAGUCUUGAGAAGAGUUGAGGUAGGCGGAAUGCGUGGUGUAGCGGUGAAAUGCUUAGAUAUCACGAAGAACUCCGAUUGCGAAGGCAGCAUACCA
This 396-nucleotide ribosomal RNA is filed under the name uncultured bacterium. RNAcentral describes it as "partial 16S ribosomal RNA". It matches the Rfam family "Bacterial small subunit ribosomal RNA", at positions 338 to 731 of the family's 1533-position model. The record is from RNAcentral.